Molecule: ribosomal RNA, 430 nt
Filed under: uncultured bacterium
Lineage: Bacteria
Description: bacterial SSU rRNA
Rfam family: Bacterial small subunit ribosomal RNA
Source: RNAcentral
GAUGAACGCUGGCGGCGUGGAUAAGGCAUGCAAGUCGAAUGGGUUUAGACCCAUGGCGAACGGGGUAGUAACAGGUAGGAACGUACCACAGAGUCGCGAAUAACUUUCCGAAAGGAAUGAUAAUGCGCGAUAUACUUACGAGUGAAAGAUUUAUCGCUCUGUGAUCGGCCUGCUUCGUAUCAGCUUGUUGGUAGUGUAAAAGACUACCAAGGCAAUGACGCGUAGGGGAGGUGAGAGCCUGACCCCCACCAAUGGCACUGAGACACUGGCCAUACUCCUACGGGAGGCUGCAGUCGAGAAUAUUCCGCAAUGCACGAAAGUGUGACGGAGCGACGCCGCGUGAUUGAUGAAGGCCUUCGGGUUGUAAAGAUCUUUUAUAGGUGAGGAAGUUUAUUGACGUUAACCUAUGAAUAAGGGGUUCCUAAUCUGG